GAUGAACGCUGGCGGCGUGCCUAAUACAUGCAAGUCGAGCGAACAGACGAGGAGCUUGCUCCUCUGACGUUAGCGGCGGACGGGUGAGUAACACGUGGAUAACCUACCUAUAAGACUGGGAUAACUUCGGGAAACCGGAGCUAAUACCGGAUAAUAUAUUGAACCGCAUGGUUCAAUAGUGAAAGACGGUUUUGCUGUCACUUAUAGAUGGAUCCGCGCCGCAUUAGCUAGUUGGUAAGGUAACGGCUUACCAAGGCAACGAUGCGUAGCCGACCUGAGAGGGUGAUCGGCCACACUGGAACUGAGACACGGUCCAGACUCCUACGGGAGGCAGCAGUAGGGAAUCUUCCACAAUGGGCGCAAGCCUGACGGAGCAACGCCGCGUGAGUGAUGAAGGUCUUCGGAUCGUAAAACUCUGUUAUUCGGGAAGAACAAAUGUGUAAGUAACUAUGCACGUCUUGACGGUACCUAAUCAGAAAGCCACGGCUAACUACGUG
RNAcentral lists this ribosomal RNA (497 nucleotides) under uncultured bacterium. RNAcentral's name for it is "partial 16S ribosomal RNA". It matches the Rfam family "Bacterial small subunit ribosomal RNA", at positions 28 to 507 of the family's 1533-position model. The record is from RNAcentral.